RNAcentral lists this ribosomal RNA (253 nucleotides) under uncultured bacterium. RNAcentral describes it as "partial 16S ribosomal RNA". It matches the Rfam family "Bacterial small subunit ribosomal RNA", at positions 524 to 776 of the family's 1533-position model. The record is from RNAcentral.
UACGUAGGUGGCAAGCGUUGUCCGGAUUUAUUGGGUUUAAAGGGUGCGUAGGCGGCCUUAUAAGUCAGUGCUGAAAUAUCCCGGCUUAACCGGGAGGGUGGCAUUGAUACUGUAAGGCUUGAGUGUAGUCGAGGUAGGCGGAAUUGACGGUGUAGCGGUGAAAUGCUUAGAUAUCGUCAAGAACACCGAUAGUGUAGACAGCUUACUAGGCUACAACUGACGCUGAGGCACGAAAGUGUGGGGAUCAAACAGG